AUUGAACGCUGGCGGCAUGCUUUACACAUGCAAGUCGAACGGUAACAGGCCUUCGGGUGCUGACGAGUGGCGAACGGGUGAGUAAUGCAUCGGAACGUGCCCAAUCGUGGGGGAUAACGUAGCGAAAGUUACGCUAAUACCGCAUAAGCCCUGAGGGGGAAAGCAGGGGAUCGCAAGACCUUGCGCGAAUGGAGCGGCCGAUGUCAGAUUAGCUAGUUGGUGGGGUAAAGGCCUACCAAGGCGACGAUCUGUAGCGGGUCUGAGAGGAUGAUCCGCUACACUGGGACUGAGACACGGCCCAGACUCCUACGGGAGGCAGCAGUGGGGAAUUUUGGACAAUGGGCGCAAGCCUGAUCCAGCCAUGCCGCGUGCGGGACGAAGGCC
This 384-nucleotide ribosomal RNA is filed under the name uncultured bacterium. RNAcentral's name for it is "bacterial SSU rRNA". It matches the Rfam family "Bacterial small subunit ribosomal RNA", at positions 29 to 416 of the family's 1533-position model. The record is from RNAcentral.